Molecule: ribosomal RNA, 466 nt
Filed under: uncultured bacterium
Lineage: Bacteria
Description: partial 16S ribosomal RNA
Rfam family: Bacterial small subunit ribosomal RNA
Source: RNAcentral
GAUGAACGCUGGCGGCGUGCUUAACACAUGCAAGUCGAACGAUGAAGCCCAGCUUGCUGGGUGGAUUAGUGGCGAACGGGUGAGUAACACGUGAGUAACCUGCCCUUAACUCUGGGAUAAGCCUGGGAAACUGGGUCUAAUACCGGAUAGGAGCGUCCACCGCAUGGUGGGUGUUGGAAAGAUUUAUCGGUUUUGGAUGGACUCGCGGCCUAUCAGCUUGUUGGUGAGGUAAUGGCUCACCAAGGCGACGACGGGUAGCCGGCCUGAGAGGGUGACCGGCCACACUGGGACUGAGACACGGCCCAGACUCCUACGGGAGGCAGCAGUGGGGAAUAUUGCACAAUGGGCGAAAGCCUGAUGCAGCGACGCCGCGUGAGGGAUGACGGCCUUCGGGUUGUAAACCUCUUUCAGUAGGGAAGAAGCGAAAGUGACGGUACCUGCAGAAGAAGCACCGGCUAACUACGUA